RNAcentral lists this long non-coding RNA (581 nucleotides) under Haliotis rubra (blacklip abalone). Its description in RNAcentral is "uncharacterized LOC124277461, transcript variant X1". Lineage: Eukaryota; Metazoa; Mollusca; Gastropoda; Lepetellida; Haliotidae. The record is from RNAcentral.
AGAGACAGCUACACAGGGCACAGGCGGCUAUACCAGAGAUAGGGCUACACAGGGCACAGACACUAUACCAGAGACAGGCACUACACAGGGCACAGACACUAUACCAGAGAUAGGCACUACACAGGGCACAGACACUAUACCAGAGACAGGCACUACACAGGGCACAGACGCUAUACCAGAGACAGGCACUACACACACAGGGUACAGACACUAUACCAGAGCCAGGCACUACACAGGGCACAGACACUAUAACAGAGAUAGGCACUACACAGGGCACAGACACUAUAACAGAGAUAGGCACUACACAGGGCACAGACACUAUACCAGAGACAGGCACUACACAGGGCAUUGACACUAUAACAGAGACAGUCAGGACAGACAAAACAUGCUCUGUACAGGGCACAGGUUACAUGCAAGACAAUCACUACUCACAAAACAUAUUUUCAACUUCGUUACGAGAACUGUCAAAAUCAAAUCAGAUAGAAGUACUGACAAAUGAAGGGUAGUUGUCACUGUUGUAUUAUCCUAGUUAUGGCUUCUGCUGUUUGUGUAGGACAGCUAAUUACUGCAAAUAGUUGCCA